Molecule: unclassified non-coding RNA, 401 nt
Filed under: soil metagenome
Description: partial contains 5.8S ribosomal RNA, internal transcribed spacer 2, and large subunit ribosomal RNA
Rfam family: 5.8S ribosomal RNA (bases 1-121)
Source: RNAcentral
GAUGAAGAACGUAGCGAAAUGCGCUAAGUAAUGUGAAUUGCAGAAUUCAGUGAAUCAUCGAAUCUUUGAACGCACCUUGCGCCCCUUGGUUAUUCCAAAGGGCAUGCCUGUUUGAGUAUCAUGAACACCUCAACUCUUGUGGUUUCCCACAAUGAGCUUGGACUGUGGAGGUUUUGUUGGCCCUGUGGUCAGCUCCUCUCAAAUGGAUCAGCUUACCGGUGUUUGGUGGCAUUACGGGUGUGAUAACUAUCUACGCUCGUGGUCGUCUCCAAAUAACCUCCAGUGAUGGAGGUUCGCUGGAGCUUAUAAAUGUCUCUCCCCAGUGAAGACAGCCUUUGAACGUUCGAUCUCAAAUCAGGUAGGACUACCCGCUGAACUUAAGCAUAUCAAUAAGCGGAGGA